GACGAACGCUGGCGGCGUGCCUAAUACAUGCAAGUUGAGCGAUGAAGAUUGGUGCUUGCACCAAUUUGAAGAGCAGCGAACGGGUGAGUAACGCGUGGGGAAUCUGCCUUUGAGCGGGGGACAACAUUUGGAAACGAAUGCUAAUACCGCAUAACAACUUUAAACAUAAGUUUUAAGUUUGAAAGAUGCAAUUGCAUCACUCAAAGUUGAUCCCGCGUUGUAUUAGCUAGUUGGUGAGGUAAAGGCUCACCAAGGCGAUGAUACAUAGCCGACCUGAGAGGGUGAUCGGCCACAUUGGGACUGAGACACGGCCCAAACUCCUACGGGAGGCAGCAGUAGGGAAUCUUCGGCAAUGGACGAAAGUCUGACCGAGCAACGCCGCGUGAGUGAAGAAGGUUUUCGGAUCGUAAAACUCUGUUGGUAGAGAAGAACGUUGGUGAGAGUGGAAAGCUCAUCAAGUGACGGUAACUACCCAGAAAGGGACGGCUAACUACGUG
This 497-nucleotide ribosomal RNA is filed under the name uncultured bacterium. Its description in RNAcentral is "partial 16S ribosomal RNA". It matches the Rfam family "Bacterial small subunit ribosomal RNA", at positions 28 to 507 of the family's 1533-position model. The record is from RNAcentral.